CAGUGCUCUGCUGCUGGCUACUCACCCCUGGAUUCCUCCUCAGCUCCUGGGAUCUUUCUGCUCCAAAGGCUCCAGAGGCCUGGGGUGGGGAGCGCGUCAC
Long non-coding RNA from Gopherus evgoodei (Goodes thornscrub tortoise), 100 nucleotides. RefSeq lists it as uncharacterized. Lineage: Eukaryota; Metazoa; Chordata; Testudines; Testudinidae. The record is from RefSeq and is a predicted model, not a curated record. The transcript has 3 exons.